GCCCGCCUAGCUCAAUCGGAUAGAGCGUCAGACUCUUAUCACUAAGGCAAUCGGGCAUCUGAAGGCUGCGAGUUCGACCCUCGCGGUGGGCU
Molecule: non-coding RNA, 92 nt
Organism: Gymnopilus junonius
Lineage: Eukaryota; Fungi; Basidiomycota; Agaricomycetes; Agaricales; Galerinaceae
Source: the annotation of a GenBank genome assembly